CAGCCGAGUUGAAUGGAACAUUCCAUCUUUCACCGAAUGAAAAUAUUCUUACCAUUGCACGAAAAACAUUCAUUAUUUGUUUUAUAUAAUACCAAAAUAGACUAAUAGAUUCGUAUGAGAAGCAUUUUGAGGGAUGCGAUUUAUCGAAAACACAAAGAGUGCAAUUGUACUAUACGUUUUAUUCCAUUGCACUCGCAGAGAGUGCAAUGGAACGUAUUCCAUUGCACUCUUGGGAAAUGGAAUUUUCUAUUCAAUACCACGUGAUCAUAAACAGCCAAUUAAACGAUCAGAAUUCAGUAAGGUAUUAUAUAAAUUUGAAUAUUGUACACAGUUUUGAAUAUUGUGCAAAGAACUAUUGUAAAUACUAACAAAGUGACAUACAACAGAUUCAUAUGUACGUUGUUCAUAAAAUCUAUAAAUUAUAUCAAUAGUGGUUUAAUAUGUCUAAUCAACAGAUAAUAUAACAUUAAAAAGAAUCCAAACAAUUAGGCUGAAAUUUGGAUCUAUUUGAGUAAUUAAUGUUUGGCCACCAUACUGAGGUACCUAAUAUCAUUUAACGUUUCUGAUGUUACUCCUAGUGUAUAUCCACACCGGGCAAGCUUGAAAAGUAUGCCUGGUCACGGACAAAGCUUGAAAAAUAUGCCUGGUCAAUUUACUUGAUUCUGAUUGGUUAAAAACCGUGCCUAUUACCUAAAAUCGCAGCAAAAAUUGCAAGUGUAAACGGGCCUUAUAUGGCUACCAAAAAUCAAAUGCCAAAAUCUUGCAAUCAAAUUGGUCUUCUCUUUUCGAUGGUGCUUUUGAUAUUGACAUUGUUUAUAAUACUUGGUUUGCCCAUUUUCGCACAAUUAUUGAGAAGCAUAUUCCGUUAAAAAUUGUCACCAUAAGGCCAAGGGAUAAACCUUGGAUGACUGGUGCGGUUCGUCGUGCAAUACGUAAACGUAACCGACAACUUCGAACUCAUAAUAAUAGACCAAAUGAGUACUCAUGGGAAAAUUACCGUAGACAACGUAAUUUAACAACACAAUUGAUUAGAUCUGCUAAAC
Non-coding RNA from Paramuricea clavata, 1043 nucleotides. Lineage: Eukaryota; Metazoa; Cnidaria; Anthozoa; Malacalcyonacea; Plexauridae. The record is from the annotation of a GenBank genome assembly.